CAAUCCUCAGUCCUUGUGAUCAGGAUGUCCAGUUCUCCUGCUGACUUUUCAAACAAUGGUGGAAUAGAGAGAGAGAGAGUUCGCAGGCUUGAAUUCACAAGCUGGUGUCAGGAGAAGAAGCUGUAAACAUCUUGAGCUAAUAAUUGUUUAAUUGGAGGACAAGGCAAUAAUGGUAACCACACCUAGUGAGGAGAUACUGGGGCUAAAUAAUUAUAAGGUGCUGAGGCUGCUCACAAAGCCACAACCCCCAAGAGAUCAGGGUAUCCUAGGACCCACAGGGUUUGGCACUGAAACUCACAGGUCUCUGGAGCAGCACCUGCAGUUAGGGUGGACAUGUGCACUCUGUCAAGAUGGUAUUGGAGAUUGCCAUCACAGGGUCCCUACAGGUCAUAUCGAGGUGCGUGACAGCGAGAGAAAAAAUAUAAAGAGAAAAAUGUGACAGACAUAACCAGUGGUGGUUACAAUAAGUCCUCAUUUUACCAUUCUUUUAAAAACUGUAUAUAUAUAUUUUAUGCACUCUUCUCUACCUCUCUUUGGAUCAGAAAUGGAACAGAAACACAGAGCCACAUAGAGAGCAAAAGCUAAGCUCCUGUGGACUUCCACCAGUUUAGAAGCAGGUAGAGGCCACCCAAAGUAUGGCUUCUGUGAAGGUAACAAAAUAAAGGUUCUCCAAGCAAGCCCAAUGCCUAGGAGGCAACCUGACCCAGCAGGUAGCAGAUGUGUUGGCAGGAUCUUUACUGUCACCUCGGAGGGGAGCCCAGAGUGCCAAUAUUUUAGCUGGCUCUGGAUUGGGAGCCAGAGAAACUAGAUGGAAGAAAAGUAAAUCCCUAGACAGGGAGAAGAGUGGGAAGACAGAAAGAAAGAGGAGAAGGAAAGGAAGGAAAAAGAAGAAGGAAAGAGUUUUUCCGCUAAAAAUAAACCUGCAAACCAAAUUUCCAAAACAUAUGAAGGAAAAUAUUUCUAAGAAAGACUGGCAACAAAAUCAAUAAUCAAAAAGUGAAAUAACCUCAGACAAAUGAAAGCAGUAGAACAAUCUACAGGAAAAGUGAAAAAAAGGGCAUUUUCUGGCUAAAAAAAAGAUGAGUCGAUAGAAAACUAAAUAUGUGUUUUUUCAAAGAAUUCUCAAAGGGAGAAAUGAAUCACAAUAUUCAAGAAACAAACAAGGAAUUAUGAAACUAAAAUAGGAAUAAAUGAAACAAGAACAUAAGGAUAUGAAAAAGAGCUUAUCAGAAAUUCUGGAAAAUAAAAAGUCCUGAGAGCUUUAAAAAGGGCAUCUCUCUCCCUCUGGAGUUUGAAGCGCAAAGGCGGUGGCCUGCCUCCGAGGGUUGCCUGUGCUUGUUCACCUGAUGGCUGGACAGAGAUCCAAGAGAGAGAAGGCAGAAGCAUUCAAGACCUCUUGAGGCCUAAGCUUGGAACUGGCACACUGUCACGUCUGCUGCAUUCUAUUGGCCAAAUUAAGUCCAAAGUCAUCCUAGAUUUAAGGGGAAGAGAAAAGGAUUUUACCUGUUGAUGAGAAGAGCUACAAACUCUCAUUGUAAAGUGUAUGGAUAUAGGGAGGGUGGAGAAUUGUGACCCUUUUUUACAGUCUUCCACACGUGUGCAUAUAGAAAUAAUACACGACUGUUUAUUGCAGCAUUUUUGAUAAUAACAAAACAUUGGAAACAACCUAAACACCCUUCACUAAGGGAAUGGGCAAGUUGUGGCACAUCCAUACCAUGGAAUACUGUGUAUCCAUUGAAAGGAAUGAGCUAGGUCUCUUUCUGGGCCGACUAGAAGAAAUAUAAAGCAAAACUUUUUUUUUUUUAAAUAAAAAAAGACAACUGAAGAGCAGUUUGUACAGAAUAAUACCAUUUAUAUAUUUUUAAAACCUACACAGCAUUACGUAUUUUUGAUGGGUACAUGUAUAUGCUUGUAGAGGUAUUUUAGAAGGUCUAGAAGCACACACACCUGACUUACAGCAGUGAUUCUCUUGGGGAGUGAGGGAGGAGGCAAGAAUUCAAAGUGGUGGUCGGAGAGGAUUUUAGCUUCAUCUGUUAGGUUAUUUUUUUCA
Long non-coding RNA from Equus quagga, 2050 nucleotides. RefSeq lists it as uncharacterized. The transcript is spliced from 3 exons. The record is from RefSeq and is a predicted model, not a curated record. Lineage: Eukaryota; Metazoa; Chordata; Mammalia; Perissodactyla; Equidae.